RNAcentral lists this ribosomal RNA (392 nucleotides) under uncultured bacterium. Its description in RNAcentral is "partial 16S ribosomal RNA". It matches the Rfam family "Bacterial small subunit ribosomal RNA", at positions 523 to 918 of the family's 1533-position model. The record is from RNAcentral.
AUACGGAGGAUCCGAGUGUUAUCCGGAUUUAUUGGGUUUAAAGGGUGCGCAGGCGGCCAUUUAAGUCAGCGGUUAAAUCGUGGGGCUCAACCCCAUUCUGCCGUUGAUACUGGGUGGCUUGAUUGCGGUCGAGGUUGGCGGAAUUCGUUGUGUAGCGGUGAAAUGCAUAGAUAUGACGAAGAACACCGAUUGCGUAGGCAGCUGACCAGACCGCAAAUGACGCUCAUGCACGAAAGUGCGGGGAUCGAACAGGAUUAGAUACCCUGGUAGUCCGCACAGUAAACGAUGAAUACUUGUUUUCGGCGAUAUAAUGUCGGAGGCAAAGCGAAAGCGAUAAGUAUUCCACCUGGGGAGUACGCCGGCAACGGUGAAACUCAAAGGAAUUGACGGGG